Molecule: ribosomal RNA, 316 nt
Filed under: Novodamus nodatus
Lineage: Eukaryota; Metazoa; Arthropoda; Arachnida; Araneae; Nicodamidae
Description: partial 12S ribosomal RNA
Source: RNAcentral
AAGUAGUAGAAUUAUACAAACAAAACUAUAAUAUUAUGGCGGCAUUUUAUCAUAUUAAAGGAACCUGUUUUUUAAUCGAUAAUCCACGAUAAAUUUCACUUAAUCUUAAAGUUUAUAUAUCUCCGUUUAAGAAUUAAUUUAAAACUAUUACUCAAAAUAAUCCUCUAAUAAAUCAGGUCAAGGUGUAACCUAUAAUUAAGUUAAAAUGGGUUACUUUAAAUAAAAUUUAAGGACAAUAUAUUAAAUUAUAAAGAAAAAAAGGAUUUAAAAGUAAUAUUUUAAUAAUAUUUUAUUUUGAAUAAGAUAAUAAAUGUGC